This 450-nucleotide ribosomal RNA is filed under the name uncultured bacterium. RNAcentral's name for it is "partial 16S ribosomal RNA". It matches the Rfam family "Bacterial small subunit ribosomal RNA", at positions 338 to 795 of the family's 1533-position model. The record is from RNAcentral.
CCUACGUGGGGCUGCAGUAGGGAAUAUUGGACAAUGGGUGCGAGCCUGAUCCAGCCAUGCCGCGUGCAGGAAGAAGGCGUUAUGCGUUGUAAACUGCUUUUGCCAGGGGAUAAAAUAACUGUGCGCAGUUGAUUGAAGGUACCUGGUGAAUAAGCCACGGCUAACUACGUGCCAGCAGCCGCGGUAAUACGUAGGUGGCACGCGUUGUCCGGAUUUAUUGGGUUUAAAGGGUGCGUAGGCGGCCCGGGAAGAAAUAUCUCAGCUUAACUGAGAGGGUGCCAUUGAUACUGCGGGGCUUGAGUACAGAUGAGGUAGGCGGAAUUGACGGUGUAGCGGUGAAAUGCAUAGAUAUCGUCAAGAACACCGAUAGCGAAGGCAGCUUACCAAGCUGUAACUGACGCUGAGGCACGAAAGUGUGGGGAUCAAACAGGAUUAGAUACCCCAGUAGUC